This 427-nucleotide ribosomal RNA is filed under the name uncultured bacterium. Its description in RNAcentral is "bacterial SSU rRNA". It matches the Rfam family "Bacterial small subunit ribosomal RNA", at positions 355 to 774 of the family's 1533-position model. The record is from RNAcentral.
UAGGGAAUAUUGGACAAUGGGGGCAACCCUGAUCCAGCCAUGCCGCGUGAGUGAAGAAGGCCCUCGGGUUGUAAAGCUCUUUUGUCCGGAAAGAAAAGCAUUCGGUGAAUACCCGGAUGUUCUGACGGUACCGGAAGAAUAAGCACCGGCUAACUUCGUGCCAGCAGCCGCGGUAAUACGAAGGGUGCAAGCGUUACUCGGAAUUACUGGGCGUAAAGCGUGCGUAGGUGGUUGUUUAAGUCUGAUGUGAAAGCCCUGGGCUCAACCUGGGAAUGGCAUUGGAAACUGGGCAGCUAGAGUGCGGUAGAGGGUAGUGGAAUUCCCGGUGUAGCAGUGAAAUGCGUAGAGAUCGGGAGGAACAUCUGUGGCGAAGGCGACUGCCUGGACCAGCACUGACACUGAGGCACGAAAGCGUGGGGAGCAACCA